This 1225-nucleotide ribosomal RNA is filed under the name uncultured beta proteobacterium. Its description in RNAcentral is "bacterial SSU rRNA". It matches the Rfam family "Bacterial small subunit ribosomal RNA", at positions 155 to 1377 of the family's 1533-position model. The record is from RNAcentral. Lineage: Bacteria; Pseudomonadati; Pseudomonadota; Betaproteobacteria.
AAGGAUGGCUAAUACCGCAUAAUCCCUGAGGGGGAAAGCGGGGGCUCUUAGGACCUCGCGUUAAUUGAGCGGCCGAUGUUGGAUUAGCUAGUUGGUGGGGUAAAGGCCUACCAAGGCGACGAUCCAUAGCGGGUCUGAGAGGAUGAUCCGCCACAUUGGGACUGAGACACGGCCCAAACUCCUACGGGAGGCAGCAGUGGGGAAUUUUGGACAAUGGGGGGAACCCUGAUCCAGCCAUGCCGCGUGUCUGAAGAAGGCCUUCGGGUUGUAAAGGACUUUUGUUAGGGAAGAAAAGCUGGGUGAUAAUACCACCUGGUGCUGACGGUACCUAAAGAAUAAGCACCGGCUAACUACGUGCCAGCAGCCGCGGUAAUACGUAGGGUGCGAGCGUUAAUCGGAAUUACUGGGCGUAAAGCGAGCGCAGACGGUUAAAUAAGUCAGAUGUGAAAUCCCCGAGCUCAACUUGGGACGUGCAUUUGAAACUGUGUAACUAGAGUGUGUCAGAGGGAGGUAGAAUUCCACGUGUAGCAGUGAAAUGCGUAGAGAUGUGGAGGAAUACCGAUGGCGAAGGCAGCCUCCUGGGAUAACACUGACGUUCAUGCUCGAAAGCGUGGGUAGCAAACAGGAUUAGAUACCCUGGUAGUCCACGCCCUAAACGAUGACAAUUAGCUGUUGGGACACUAGAUGUCUUAGUAGCGAAGCUAACGCGUGAAAUUGUCCGCCUGGGGAGUACGGUCGCAAGAUUAAAACUCAAAGGAAUUGACGGGGACCCGCACAAGCGGUGGAUGAUGUGGAUUAAUUCGAUGCAACGCGAAGAACCUUACCUGGUCUUGACAUGUACGGGAUCUCUUAGAGAUAGGAGAGUGCCUUCGGGAACCGUAACACAGGUGCUGCAUGGCUGUCGUCAGCUCGUGUCGUGAGAUGUUGGGUUAAGUCCCGCAACGAGCGCAACCCUUGUCAUUAGUUGCCAUCAUUAAGUUGGGCACUCUAAUGAGACUGCCGGUGAUAUACCGGAGGAAGGUGGGGAUGACGUCAAGUCCUCAUGGCCCUUAUGACCAGGGCUUCACACGUCAUACAAUGGUUGGUACAGAGGGUAGCGAAGCCGCGAGGUGAAGCCAAUCUCAGAAAGCCAAUCGUAGUCCGGAUUGCACUCUGCAACUCGAGUGCAUGAAGUCGGAAUCGCUAGUAAUCGCAGGUCAGCAUACUGCGGUGAAUACGUUCCCGG